AGACUUGAUACAGACAUUGCUGCAUGAAACCCUCUGACUUUUUCUACAUUGCAGACAGCAACAAAAUGAACAUGGAAAUCCCUCCUAGCUUUAACAUUCAUAAAUAACUGAACCACUUACCUGUCUGAAAAAGAUGAUGACCAAAACAAAUCUCAGUAUGUAUAGUUAAUUUUUAAGCACUCUGCUACCAAGCUGUAUUGUCACCAGGUUACAUCUUCAGCCUUCGUUUAUACGCUUACCUAGCAACAUCUCAUCUAUGAAGCUCUGAGCUCUCUGGAGCCUUGGAAGCUCUUUGCUUUGACAAUGAAGUUCAGCCAUUGAGUGAUUCUACAAAGCUGCUGCACUUCUACAGCCAUCAAACAGAAGGUCAGUGAGAUGAAGACGUCACACUGUCUUUUUCACACUGGCAGAGGUCAAAACAGGACUUCAGGACCUUGCAGAAGAAGUUCCUCAAUGUUUUGAACUUGCCAUCUGAACCAUCUGAAGACACAGAUUGGUACACACAGAGGUACCUAAAAAAACCCACGUGAUUUUACAUACAAGCAUGAAAACAUAGGAAACAGCACCAAGAGAAACUGCUGAGGACCAUGGAUGGGAUGCUGCAGCACAACAUCACAGUGGGGAUCUCAUCCUGCAUUUCUUUCUGACUCUCUUUCAUCAGUGUGAAGUGGAAGUGAAGACAGCCAAAGUCUUGGGUCUCAUCUUGCUGCUCUCAGAUCCUUGGCCAAUGGCACUCUGGAUAGUUCCAUCUACAGCAAAUCUUACGGUGCAACACCCGCAGUUCAUGCACUGGUGUAGAACUUCCCAGUAUCUUUGAACCUCUGGGUGAGGCCAGUGGCAUCUGAAUGAGAAAUGGAAGCCUCAGAAUGACAUGGGUAUGGAAGACUCAGUUUGCAGAGUUAAGGUCACACAGUGUGUGAUUUCUCUUUUCCAAAUUCCUUAAUGUCAAUGUAUGAUAAAAUACACUUUUAGUUAAUAACCAUAGUUCAUAAAAAUUAACAUGAGACUCCUGCCACCCAUACUGGAAGCAGACUGAACAGGAAUCACAGCAUCCACCAAAUUCUGUUUGUUCAAUAAAACCAACGGCAAAAAAGAGCAAGGGAGGAGUAUGUUGACAAAAUGUGCAGUACACUAUAAAGUAUUUGACACUUCCUCAGACAUGCCAAAGGCAACUGGGCUCUGGAGUAUUUGGAAAGAAGGAGAAUGAAGUACUUUACUGUGUUAAUGCUAGGAGUUAUUGUAUUGUAUUGUAUUGUAUUCCACUACUGACUAAGGAAGAUGGUGGUAUCUAUUAAAGAUCUUUUUUUUUUUAAUGGCAAAACUUUUCCAAAAUCUCCAAAAGACCAUGGAAACCCCGGGGAAAAAACAGAUGGCUGGAAAAAAAACUAAAUUAAUGAUGAUAUUUACAAAUCAAGGAUAACAUAGAGGACACAGAAAAUGGUUAAUAUGCCAUCAGUAUAAGGCGAAACUGAAGAAUCUGGAUAACUAUUAUCCAUGAAAAGGAAUAAAAGAUACACAAUGAAAUGUAUAAAUGCAAAACAAUAUGGGCUUAUGGCAAAGUGAAACAAACCUAAUAUUAAAAAAUAAAUAAAUUUUUUGGUUGAUCAAGAUAGAUGGAAAGAUUUCUUUAAAACAUUUAGCUUCAUUCUGCAUUUAACCCUUAUUUAUAAAACUGUUUCUUAAAAUACCAUUGUUGAAUAUGUAAAAUGGGCUUAAGCACUGGCUAAAUAAUAGUCUCAAUGAAUAAAUGUGCAAU
RNAcentral lists this long non-coding RNA (1756 nucleotides) under Gallus gallus (chicken). Its description in RNAcentral is "lncRNA (ENSGALG00010011970.1)". The record is from RNAcentral. Lineage: Eukaryota; Metazoa; Chordata; Aves; Galliformes; Phasianidae.